UUUUCUUCUGCAUCCUGCCUCUUAAAAAGCAGCAGACAAAUCUAUUAUUUCUUGGUUAAUUACAUGUGCUCUGAGAGACAGCCCCUUUUUUACCUGCCCAAUAAGUACAAGCUCCUAGAGUGGACAGACUGUUUCUAGAUUCAAAUAUGUUAUGGUCUAAGGCUGCUAAUUUUGUUACAGAGGACUGGUAUUUUUCCAUAUACUUACUAUAGCUUUUUUAAUGCACACUUUUUCCACCAUUUCAACACUCAGCAAACUAGUAUAGCAUAUGUGGACCAAAACUCAUUACCCUGUGACAGAAGUGUCUUAGAUUAAGGUAAAUACAGUUUAAUUCUAUUCUGAGAAGCAAAUACUGCAACAAAAAGAGGGUCUGUCCCACGGGCUGUAGAACUAAUGAAGCCUGGCCCUUGCCUAUGCUAACACUGUAGUAAUUCCAUUCCAAGGUCAGCCAAGAAAUGGCAGUGUGUGAUUGAUUCAGAGGUCUGGGUGUUAUGAUAUACCAGCAGCUCGUUACUGCCAGAAGAGCAAGGAGAUAAAAGACCCAUGUUCUGCUUGUCAUUUGUCCUAAUGAAUCAUUAAUCUGAGCCUCUCUGUCCCUCUACAGAUUUUUUUAAGUUUAAAGGAUUAGAUACUUUAAGUUUUCACUUUUCUUUGAAGCGGUGCACUGGGCUCCAAAUAUGGUGAAAAUGACUGAUAGACUCGAAAGAAAAGAGGGAAGAAUAGAUAAUGUGAGUGACCAACAUCCAUUUCAUUAGGAAGUGAGAUGAAAAACAUUAACAUUGCUAUUUUUUAGCUAGUGUAGUGCUGCUGUAUUUUUCCUAAUUAUGGUAAAAAUAUGACCUGUCUUUAUAUAUUUUUCCAUGGUAGUGCCUAGUGACUGGACCAGAGGCAGUGAGCACAGACUGAAACUCAAGCUGUGCUCUCUGAACGUCAGGAAACCUCUUUUUCUGUGAGGGUGACUGGGCACAGGCACAGAUUGCCCAAAGAGUUUGUUGAUUCUCCCCCACUGGAGAUUUGCAAAAGCCAUCUGGACACAGUCACAGGGAGCCAGCUCCCAGUGGCUCUGCUGCUGCAGGGGGUUAGACCACAGGAACUCCAGAGGUGCCUCCCAAGCUCAGUCAUUCUGUGAUUAGUGCCAGAAGGAUCUAGCUGGUUUUGCUAGACCCAUUAAAGUUUGAAGCAACAGUUUUUGCAGAGAGGGAAAUAAAGGAAGAAUGAGGGGUAAGGAGCAUAAAUUUGCUAAUUUGGGCAAAUUAACCCGGAUUGACUCAAUAGGAAUUUCAAAGGUGAGAGAGCUGCAGGGAAGUUUAUAUAAAUAUCAAUGUGGGUAAAACCAUAAGUGGACACUAUUACAGUCAAGUUCCCAAGAAACAUGCCAGCCCUUGUGCACUCUGAAAAUUUUGUAAAGUUCCUUAUCAAAUAAUGUGUUUUCCUGAAGAAAAGCUUCAUUUCUGGAAGCGGAUGAUAACUAAAGGACACUGCUUGAUCUUGUGAGAAUCAAAACACUAAUAAGGAAAAUUCAUGUGAUUUCUUUGUAUAGCAAAACCAGUCUCUGACCCUUACUUGCCUCAAGUGAUGUGCAGGGUAAAAUAUCAACUGCUUGAAUAUUAUGUGUUCUGAAUUAAUCUCUUGUUAAUAGUAUAACAGGGGAAAAAAAUAACAACUUUGUCAUGGAUCUGUGGUGCCAUCUGGAAUGUAAAUGCAGAAUGCUGCUAUUGAAGAGUUGGAUGGAUGAGGAGGUGAAACACCACAUCCUGUUUCUGAUCUCAAACAUUUUACAAAAUCUUAUUUCUCUGAUGUAGUGCUGCUAACUCCAUCAGUGUGAAGUUACUGAAAUUGACAUGGAUUGCAAAGGUGUUACCUUUUCAAAGACAACUUUUCAGGAGAAGAGGAUGCAAGAGAAGUGCUUUGGAGAAACCCCUAAGUAACAUGUUGUUUUUUUUGAUAGCCAAACCUGUGUCAAAUCCAGGACACUCUAAUGAAUCUUGGUGAAAGGAUGAAGACUGUCCCCUCACAAUCAGGGACGUGGACAAGGCAGAGGUGUUUAAUGCUUUCUUUGCCUCUACUUUCAACACCACUUUUGUACUAAGGGGACCCCACUGCCUGGAGCUGGAGAACCAUGGCUAUGAGAAUGAUCAGCUCCCAGAUCACUGGGACUGAAAUGUCCAGCACUCAGCUGAAUAAACAUCAUGUGAUGGGAAUAUCGCUUCCAUUUUAUAAAAUGAAGAAUUAUUUUAAGUAGUGGAACACUGCAGAAGACUGAAGAAUAAUACUCCUAGAAAAAUCCAUAUUUUUCAACUGGUUUCCCGCACAAAUUCAUAUUUCCAGAGUGGGACAGGAGAGAAAUCACGUUUGAAGAGUAUUGCUUGUUCUGGCUGCUCAUAAAGUCAAAAUAGAUACCAGAUUUUAAAACUCCUACCACUAGCACCCUCAAAGAAGUUGCUGGUGGAAGAAAGCCAUAAACCCAUAAAUUCAUACCCUGUAGGAAGCCAGUUGUUGCAUACAUCCAGACCAUGUUGAGUCCAAAAAAUCCCAACGCCAUUCCUGAAAAAGCCAGAAGUCCUCCAGUGAUCACAACUGUCCGAUGGGUGUAUUGUACACACAGUGAACUGGCAACAGGGGCUGGAUCAGCAUAAAAAUUGGAGAAAGAAAAAUACAUUAGGAACAUUAAUCUGAUCAACAUGGCCAGAUAAAUAAAACAUUUUGAGGAGGACUCCCCUUACAAUGCUUGACACAAACAGCCUUUAUUCUACUGGAUGGGGUAGGAGGUCAGUCAAAAUUUCAAAAUUGUGUACUUGCUGAUAGAGAAAUUACUUUCCCUGAGGCACAGAUUUGAAAACAUAUUCAACAUAUGUGGACCUUUUUUAAAGGGAAAGAGCAUUUUAGCCUUCCUUGUAGUAUGACAGUUCUGAUUUUCAUGUAAGGAUACGAGUACCAACAUGGCAGAACCUCAUGGACUGUUUUAGAAAAAAGUAGAACUUCAGCCACAGAAUCUAUAAGUUCACCUAUAAAAACUGUACUGCUGAGAAUGUAUUAUUGAUAUGGCUGGCAUGAAAACUUUCUGGAGAAAACUAACUUUUGUUUUCUAGAAUUUUGAAAAAAAAAUCAACCCUUAAUGGAAUUUUAAAGGUUUUCAAAGGACCAAAAACUAGGGUUUAUUUUGUGGUAAUACUUUUUACAGAAAAUUGUCAGCUCAUUUUUUAAAUCUUCAUUUAGUGGUACAGUUUCUCUCAACAGAGUGUAGGGGCUAUUCAACAUAAGGCAAAGGUGCAGGUGGUACAGAUCUGAUGGUGCAGCAGCUGCUUUGGUCUCUAGUCACUCUCUGGAAACACCUGAAAUGUCAGGGAUAUCUUUUCUUAAUUAAGGAUCAGUUUUACUGCCUGGCUGUUCUUUCCAUCAGCAUCGCAGAGUCCGGGUUAAGGCCGUAGGAUUUCUUUAAAUAGCCAUGGCCACUAGGGGGUUCUCAAGUACCACCUGGCAGGAACCAGCUCCCAACAUCUGUAAAAUAUCCCGGGGAGUUCGUGCAUAAAACUCAGUUUGGUUAACGGGGACCAUGCUUCUAAACUGAAAUAAGUAGGAAGACAAUGAUUAAGAGAGAGCAGCCAGCAAGGAACAUUUUAUAAUAGUUUGUAGGGGCAGGUUGUUGUACAUUCACCUGGGUUUAAGAUCAGAAUUAAGAGAAUUUGCUAGCUAGGAUGAGUGAAAUAAACCUGACAGAGUACUAGUUGUUGCAAAAUCUGCAGGAUGUACACUGUCUGACAGCAGAAAGAUGUGUCAGUAGUUAUACAAACCUCAAAUGUCUCAUCAGCUUUUACAGCAAAAAUAUGAUCAUUUUAUAAGCAUGUAAAAAGGGUACUGAAAUUCAGUCAUUCUCUUAAGAUGUAGUUGAUGGGACAUGAUAAGGUAUAUACAGCUGGUGAAUCAUACAAUAUGAUAGAAAAAGAAGAAGAGAAAAGUAGAUACAGGAUAACGUCCAUGAAAGUUCUUGAAGACAAGAUAAAGGUCUGCAGAUGGAGAAGAAAUAUUACCAAAUCUCAAUUUUUAAAUAGUAAGGAAGGAGAAUAAACAAGCAGCAAUUAAACAUGGGGUAGCAAGAGAAAGAAAGAAGCUAGCCACAGAACUGGAAAUGGGUAAAAUAGCUUGACUCCAGAGUCUGAAACAUGUAAAGGCAACACACAGAAAAUGUGCAAGCAAUGGAAAGGAUGACAACCAGAGUGCAAAGAGAAGGGUGCUGGGAGGUGUACAUCAGUACCCGAGAGAAGGCUGGUGAAGGUGAUGGGGAGGAUCCUUGCUGUGGUAAACUGAACAGCCUGUUGCAAGGGCAGACCUUGGGAGUGGAAACACAUGCUCUCCUUCGACACAGGAAACAGACCUGCUGUUGAAAGGAUCCAAAUAGGAAAAAAUAGUAAUUCAGUGAUCAUCCUUCAUACUGAGCCAAGUGACACUCAAGGUUUCCCAGAGAUACACAGUAAGAAAGACUAAGCCAGGCCAGGAAACAUGGCCAAAGAACUGGAAGCUCAGGUGAUUUUCACCAGGAAGUCUUGUGGUCCCUAUAAAUGAAGUAAAGGCAGAAAAAGAUGAGGACAAUUAUGUAUUGAACUGAGAUAUUUAUAAACUACUAUACAGAGGGGGUUUGGAGUAUUUGACCACCAAGCUUUAUUCACUGGAAGAGGAUUAUUUUCAAAGGAUUUCAAAGGACAAAGACCAAUUUCUGCUGAAAAUUAUAGCUGCCUUCCUUGAAGUAGGCUGGCCUCACACUAGGCAAAUAUAUUUUUGCUGGUUUAUACUUGUAAUUAUCGUGUCAUAUGCCUUAUUCCUUGUUACAUUUCUAUGCAAUGUAACUAUAUGCUAUAACAAAACAAAACCUAACUAAAACAGGACUGUUUUUCCCUCCUUUGCUGGCUUUUUCUUCUCAUGAAGUUCAAAUGCCUGAAUUACAAAAUAGUAUCACAGUAUGUCAGUGAUAUGUCUAAUUUGUAAACCAAAUUGAUAAUUACCAUUUAUUAAUUUCUGUGGUCUGUGAAGCAGGUUUUUCAAAUUUUUUUUUUCCAGUUAAUUAUAUCUGUCGCUGCAAAGCAGGCAUCAAGGACAGCAGUUUAUGGAACUGAUAAAAAUCUUUUCAACUCAUUACUUAUUUUAUCUUUUUACUUUAACUUUGGGUUACUCUCCUUUCCCUCUGAAUAUAUAUUUCAAAGAAAGAACAGUUGCUCUUGAUGUUUGGAAACACUGCAGUUCCAAGCAAUAAUACUGAUAGGUGUGGACUGAGUAGGAUGCAUGUAAUUAUACAAUGCAAUGCCUAUGCAAUGAAGAGCCUUCAGAAAUAAAAUUGAUAGCAUUUAUUAUGAAAGAAAAUUUACCUAUUGCAACCAUACACCUCUAUGAGAAUAUGCAGAGCAGACUUAACAAAUUCUGUACAGUUCAAGCCUGCACAUGUUUGGAAUCCUCACAUCAUGUGAAAGAUGAUGCCAUUUACAAGGGCACUAAGGACUCUCUAAACAACCAAGCUGAGUCAAACACAGUAUGUUUCACAUUUUGAUGUGAUGUGGUAUUUGACCUGUUCUCAUAGCUCACUUUGAGCUUGGUAUUUGACUUGGAUAGUUUACUGUCUCUUCCCCUACUCUCUGCUUUGUGUGCUCAUGUCUUUAUUGAGCUCAAGUCUUCUGGUAGAUCAAUAACCUGGAGUCAUACUAAGAGAAAGCGACAGUCACUCUGAGAUCAGUGAACUUGCACAAACUGGUUUAAGAGCUUGAUUCAACAAGCUCUGUGGCUAUCAGAAUUACCUCUAAUGAGUUUAACUCAAAGCCUGUAGCAAAACUUAAUCAUGAGUUUAGGUACAUGGUUUUUUUUCAGGCAAUCAAACUUCUGUGUCUAUGGAGUUUUGUUAUUAAUCCAUUCCAUGUCUGAGGCAGCAAAUUCCAAUUUUCUGAAAAUUUUCUGUAUUUUCUGUAGAAACAGAAGAAGAAAGUAUAGGCCUUAUAUUUCUGGGUUUGGUUUUUUUUUAAGGAAGAUUUCCAAACUUGCUAUAGUAGCUGCUAUUGGUAGUUAAUAUUAAAAUAAAAUGAUAGAGGAGUACUACUACCUACCUCCUAAAUGAAAGACGGCAAUAGUUACUGAUGUGAUCCAGGAAGUGGUGCUUGCAAGUUCAUCAAAGUGCUGCUGGAUUUCAACAAAGAACAGACCAAAAGUCUUGAGGACAGCAACAGUGAGGCCCAUCACCAUGAAGGCUGACACUACCACAACCCAUCCAUAGCCACCAUCUGGUGGAUUGCUGUCCUUAGCCUGCAUCUUUUCUAAUUCUUAGAUCUUCUCUGGGUUUGGGUUGUUUUUUUCUUUUUUUUUUUUUCUGGAGUGGUAGUGAUGGUGAUGAGGUUUUUUAACAGAUCUGCAAAUUGGUAGAAGGCCCAUUGUUAAAGAAAUUAAUUCAAAUAUUCUAUGAACGGCUUACAGAAGUAAUUACCAAGUUAAAAUACAACAUUCAUUACAGUGGUUUGACUGAAAAUAUUACCUGGGGAACAGAUGCCCCAAGAGACAGAAGACCGAAUAAAAAAAUAAAAAUAAAAAUUCAAGUACAAGGUUAAGAAAACAAAAAAAAGCAUGCAGAUGUGAACAAAGAAGAGAAGACAAUGGGAAAAUAUUUCGACAUGAAGAUUUUCAAAGAUAGAAGAAUUUUAGUGUCCCCAACAUUUUAGCAUUUAUAAAUAUUAAUUGUUCUUGCAACACCAAGCAUUUUUGCCAAAAUUAUGCACAAUUAUCCAUCCUUGCAAAGAUACAUUCAUAGGCAAGAAGAUCUUAUUAAACACAAAGUUGAAAAAGCCUAUUUCCCCUUUAAAGUUUUAUGAUAAACAUGCAGUAAUCAUGCAGUGCAUGGAGGACGUGGGAUCCGGCUGGAGGGAGAGAAACACUCAUACAUUUUUCUGGUUUCUUCAUGGACACUAAAUUCUGAAUAGGGGUAUUGUACAAGACGCAGAAGACCAAAAAAGACCUAUCUCAGGAGCAGAAUGGGAACUUGAGAUAGCUGAAGAUGUACCAUACUUAAAAUUAUCUACCCUGUGUGCAGCUGGAAAAAAUGAGCUGUAUGAGGGAAUCCAUACCACUUGAAAUUAUCCAAUACAAAGAAAUACUAGUCCUCUGAUUUGCUCCAUUGAGGUACAUGAUCUCAGAAGGAUCUGAAUCACUGCAGCAGAGUGGUGAAAAGAAGACAUCAGAGCCUUCUAGGGAUCAGAAGCAAAAUCAUUCUACUGUCUUGUGUCUAGACUGACAUGGCACUGAACACAUUUGCACAUCUUAAAAAAUCUUAGAACAGCACAAGAGAGGGAGAGACUGUCUUGUGUUGAGGCCUGUAUGAAUGAAUCAGGUUUUCAUUCCCACAGUUUCUGGGUGACCUUAAGCAAGUUGUUAGAUCUUGCUGUGCCUAUUUUCUCAGUUGUCAAAUGCAGCUAAUACUUUCAAAGGUCAUAAAUUUUGUGAAGUUGGAAGCAUUAAUACUUGUAUUAGUGCUCAGUUUACUGUAAGAAAAUACAGAAAUUAUAUCAAGCUGUAGCCAUGUCUUCUGACAAUGUUCAGAGUAGCAUAGCCCUAAUUUUGUUUGAGGCCUGGAAGAACAUAAAAAGGACACAACACUCAAGCUAAAUGAGCCUGCCUAGGCAGAGUGGUACUGAUAUUUCUGCAUUCUGCAUGGACAUGUCUGGGCAAGGGAUUAUGAUUUGUGCCACAAGACAGAUAGAAGAAAUCCUGCUACUUACCAGGCAACACAGAGACUAAAACAGGCAUGAUAAAAUCUGCAUGACACCACCCAGCACCCUUCACUUUCAUUAGGCAAAUUCUUUCCCAGGAGGAGUAUAAAUUGGGCCUUACUGCUCACAAAACUUAAAUGAACAGUAUGUUUCCUUACAACAAGCACAUCUUUUAUGUCAUAGCUCAGAAUUCAGCCUUCAGUUCCUAUUAAUGAUCACAUGUUACAUGUAACUCCAAAAUUAAAUUACUAUUUCUGUUGCAUUAUUAAUUAAUGAGGUAGUUAUUUUCCACCAACCCUAUGGAUUUGAAAGCAGUGAAGCUACAUACUGUAGGGAAUUGCUGGAAUGCCUGAAGAGGGUAGAAGAAAGUAUAGAUAUUACAAUAAGGGAACAUGUUUCUGACACCAUGCUUUGUUCCUCCUUCGCUUUCAAGACAGUUUUUAGUAAGAUGAUGUAAUUGCCAACACCCUAAGCUGAAAAAAAAACUACAUAGGAUCUCCUUUAGCUCUCAGCUAUUGAGCUAUUGAGCUAUGACAAACAGUAAGGUACUAAUAUCUCCAUUUACUCACUUUGUCCCUGAAGCUAACCUUCCAAAUAAAAAGGAGAAAAAACUUGUAGGGAAACUGCUCCUUCUUUUGUGCCUAACCAUACACAUGAUCCCUCAAAAAUGUAAAGCUGUGCCUGGAAGCAUAAGCAUUCUAUCUAGUAUCCCACUGACUCCUACCUCCAAGAUUUCUCAUGGCAGCUGGAACAGAUGUCCUGUGAGACAGGGACUUAAAUCUGGAAAGCCUGUUCUUGGUGUGUGCAUCAGCAAGAGCAGACAGCUCUGUUAGUGGUGUUAUGCUCAUGGCAAAUUUUGCCAGCAAGAACAUGCAAGCAAGAGUGUAACCUUUAUCUUUGCACCUGGAUAACUACAAAGGCACUUUCUGAGGCACCAGGGCUGUUCCUCUAUUCAUGCUCUACAAGUUCUCCAAGCUAUUUCUGCUUUGAUUCAUGCCAUUGAUUCAGAAAGCUUAUCAGACAAUAAUAAAAAUAAAUUAUAAAAUGCUUAUCUCAUUGCUUGCAUUUUAGGGUGCCACAUAAACUUGUGAAGACAGAUACUUGUUCUACUUGGUUAUCUUGUGCUCCAUGUUCUAAUUUACUUUUCACACAAGUGUAAAUGAGUUGAAUACAUUUGCUGCACAUUGCAAAACAACUUGGUGGUGGAAUCAAGAAAAAACUGUUGUUAGUAUGAAUCCUAAACUUCUUGUUUUAAUGCAAGUCAUACUUAACACUCCUCAAAUAAGUGUAUUCACUCUGAAUGGAGGCUGAGUGGGCUUCUUGUGAGAUGGUGAUACUUUACAGAUAUAGGUUGCCCAGGAUGAUGAAAAAGAGAAAGUUUUAAGUUUUUCCACACUUAGAUAAAGAAAUGUGAUUUGGUAAUGGGUGUUUGGUUUGGGUUUCCAGUACAAAUAUUGUACUAUUACCUUGGAUUUGGACUUAGCAAAAAAAAGAGAAAAGGAAGAAAAACGUACUUAAUAUACAUAGACACAAAGCUACUUUUACCAAAGGCUGAUACCUUGAAAGAGGAACUCUGUAAAACUAAAUACAAAAUACAUCUCAAAUAAAUUAACAACAGAUUAAA
Molecule: long non-coding RNA, 9357 nt
Organism: Parus major (Great Tit)
Lineage: Eukaryota; Metazoa; Chordata; Aves; Passeriformes; Paridae
Exons: 4
Source: RefSeq, a predicted model, not a curated record